CGCGUCUUCCUUGUGGGCAAGGGGGGUCGCGACAACAGAUGAUGCCAAUUUGAGAAUAAGCAUUAGCCCCAGAGACAAGAUAACGUGAGUAGCUAAUCACGAGGAUCUCAUGAGAACUAGACCCCAUCAAAAAGCCUAUGGCAGAAAAAAAAUUAUUUUUCAUAGUAACACCUGUUCUCUGACUAAGGUAUAUAACUGCCCCUGCCAAGCAUCUAGGAUCAUUGUCCAAGAUGGCACACCUAUCAUAACUCAGUAACUUAGUAAUAAAAGAAAACAGGGAGAAAGUAAAUGAACAUAAUUAUAGAGUUUACCAAAGUUCUGUUUAAAUCCAUUAAGUGAAAAAAAAAAACAAGCAGCAUUGAAAUCUACCUGAAGAAUCAGAAGAUUGUUACUGCAUUGCUGUGUUUUACAGAAUGUAAACAGUACAAAAGACUGUAGGGACAGUUUAUGAUUGAGUGUAGUCACUGAUGUCCAUCAAAAGAAGUUCUCAACAAUACUUUCUCCUCUUUUGUGAGCUUCUGAGAAGAAUUGCAGCAUGCAGGCAGCUGCCCAUGGGUGAAGAAAGGAGGAAUUUGCAGAGAUGGAGUUCCAGGUUAUGCAAGGAAGAAGCUGGUGAAGAGAUUUCUCCUGCUUGGACAGAUGGUAAAAGAGCUAGGAAUAGUGUGGGUGUUCAUGCCCUCCCAGUACAUUUGGCCUGCCUCUGUGUUCCCCUGCAACUGAGCUAGGUAUUGUCAAGGACCCACAUCUCUCUCCUCUGACUGAGUGCUUUCUUUUGCAUGGGGGAGCUUAGUCAGUACUCUUAAAGAACGUUCAAAACUCGACCGAUGACUAAUGAGGGUUGGUGGAUGAAUACCCGGGUUUCUCAUGGACUGAUGGGAUAAUUCUAGGUACUACAAACCUCUGAGAAGACGCUGGAAGAAUGGAAUCACAAUUCCAUAUGUGAUCGUAUAUUCACAAAUACCCCACCAGCCUUUGUGACUCUUCUGCUAAUCUCAUGUGCACUUCCUAGAAUCGAUUCCUAAACAAACCACCAGAACCCAAGCCCUUUGUUGCAGGGUCUACUUUGGAGGAAACCCAACCUAACACAACAGGCUUUGGAAUCAGAUAAAUCCUAAUUCUCCUUGAAUCAUUUAGUAGUUGCCUGGCCUUGAACAAGUAGCUUCUUUUUAGAGUUCAGUGUCCUUGUCUGCAGAAUGUGGGUGAUUGUAGCUCGACUUAUUUCAUAGGACUAUGUUGAAGAUUAAAGAAGAUGUAAACCACAGAGCACCUGGUGUUUGAUAGUUCAUAAAUAAAUGCUGGCCAUUCUGAUUGUGAUUUUUCUUUUUAUUUAUUUAUUUAUUUAGGCACAGGGUAACCCAGCAGUAUUUAUCCGUUGAGC
This 1378-nucleotide long non-coding RNA is filed under the name Ictidomys tridecemlineatus (thirteen-lined ground squirrel). Its description in RNAcentral is "lncRNA (ENSSTOG00000034846.1)". The record is from RNAcentral. Lineage: Eukaryota; Metazoa; Chordata; Mammalia; Rodentia; Sciuridae.